RNAcentral lists this ribosomal RNA (429 nucleotides) under Actinomycetes bacterium. RNAcentral's name for it is "Actinobacteria bacterium partial 16S ribosomal RNA". It matches the Rfam family "Bacterial small subunit ribosomal RNA", at positions 355 to 776 of the family's 1533-position model. The record is from RNAcentral. Lineage: Bacteria; Bacillati; Actinomycetota; Actinomycetes.
UAGGGAAUCUUCCGCAAUGGGCGAAAGCCUGACGGAGCAACGCCGCGUGAGUGAUGAAGGUCUUCGGAUCGUAAAACUCUGUUAUUAGGGAAGAACAAACGUGUAAGUAACUAUGCACGUCUUGACGGUACCUAAUCAGAAAGCCACGGCUAACUACGUGCCAGCAGCCGCGGUAAUACGUAGGUGGCAAGCGUUAUCCGGAAUUAUUGGGCGUAAAGCGCGCGUAGGCGGUUUUUUAAGUCUGAUGUGAAAGCCCACGGCUCAACCGUGGAGGGUCAUUGGACACUGGAAAACUUGAGUGCAGAAGAGGAAAGUGGAAUUCCAUGUGUAGCGGUGAAAUGCGCAGAGAUAUGGAGGAACACCAGUGGCGAAGGCGACUUUCUGGUCUGUAACUGACGCUGAUGUGCGAAAGCGUGGGGAUCAAACAGG